GAGAAUAAGAAUGGUAUCUAGCCUUUAAAACCAAUUCCAUGUGUUGUGACAUCAAUCCCAUAAGCCUGGAUUUAUGGUUAAGAAGUUCAUUGACUUACUAGGAAUCACAUCUCUAAAGUGAGAAGGAUUUGAUAUUGGGCAUUGCCUUCCCUUACUUACUAAUGGGAAAUUAAUCAGUCCAACCUUUUCUGAUUCACGUAGCAAAGAAGCCCUUCUAAUUGCCUAUUCUUUGUGCGAGGGUGGGGAUAUCUUCUAGUAUUGAUUAACUUGCUAAUAACCCCUCUAAAUAAGGGGGAAGGAAACUAGCCAUACUGCCGAAAAUAAGUCCCUCCCGAACAGUCGGAUUCAGAUUAGUUCAAAUCGAACUAGCUAGAUUCUUUUGCUCUAGGCCUUAUAAGGUUCUUUUACUAUUCCUAUUCCCUGCUCUACUUAAUGUACGAGGAGGAAUAGAGAUCGACAAGCAAGAGUCAAGCCUCUUUCCUGAUUAGCGAAUAGUGCCUCACUUUCCUUCUAAGUUGUCAUCAGUCUCAGACAAGAAAGAAGAUCAAAUAGAAUCCGAUUUCUGACAUGAAAGAGUAGUAAAGCAUCGAAGCAAAUAGCGUAAAAGGAUACCUAUUGAAUAGGCUUUGGCACGUCGAGGAAGAGAAUAAGCUCAAGGCGAUGAAGUCAAGGUGUCAGACGGAUAGACAACUUAUUUAACCUUGAUGAAAUGAGUCGAGGGGGAUGACUCAAGCUAGUACAAAAAAGCCUCUUACGAAAGCCUUCUUUCUAUGCCUGUGCCCAAAAAGAGGGAUAGGUAAAAAGGUACACAGUAGUAGUUGCGAGCCUAAGAUCAAAGCAAGUUCAAUCGUACAGUCAAUAGAGUACGCUUGUUGUUUGACUUUAUAUCCCUCUUUUGGGUAAGUAAUGAAUCCUCUCCCCCUCUUAUUUCACACUUAACGAACUGGUCUAUCUCCUAUCUGUCCCUGGGACCAGUUUCGUUCUUAUAGGUCUUUAACCCACCCUUCCAUACAUGUCUGGCUCCAUUUCAUUCCUUUCGGGAUUCCUAUUUCUCUACAUCUGUCAACUUUCGAAAGGUGUAGGAUUUCUAAAGUAGCCCCCUCCUAAAGCCAUGAGAGUUGGUCAGAAAAACAAACGUUCUCAUAGACUAUAUUGAGGAGUAAGGAAAGGGCUUCCAUGACAAUGAGGUCCUUCUUGCAUGGGCUUGCUUUGAUGAUGGGUAGGCUUGUUGUGCUUGGGCCCUUCUGUGGGCUUUCAUCGUGGUUUCAUCGAAAUAGGCACAAGUCUUCAGUUGUAGGACUUUCUUUGAUGGUUCAUGUAUGCUUGGGUCUUUCAUUUGGGCCCUAUUGGGGCACCCUGUCCUAUGGACCAAUGCGUAUAAGCUUAGGCUUUCUUAAUGUGGCUCAUUUAACGACUCAGUACAUAGAUGUCACGAGUCCAUUGACAUAGAAUAUGGAAGAUUUUCUACGUAAGCUGGUUGUUCAAAGUUUGUUUGUUCAUACAGGAAGUGUGAUUUUGGGGGGAUUUUGUUUGCUCCGCAAGGUAGCCAGAGCCAGCCAGUUUUUCACAAAAUAGGCAUGAUUCAACUGCAAAACAGAAAAGUAGUGUGGAGAACUAGUAAGAAUUAUGCAUGCCAUCCAAUUCGUGACGCAUGGAGAGAUUCCUCUACCACUCUAUAAAUGGAGGCUCGAUAAGUGUCUUUACUUCAUCAAAUUCAAAUCAAAGAAAUUGAGUACUAGCACGUAUGGCUAUGGCUGCUACAAACAUGCUUUCUGCAAUUGCUGCUGAAAUGCGGCAACUAAAAAAUGAAAUUCAAGAGCGCACGUAGAGCGCUAAACCUCUUUUCGAGAAAUGUUAGAGCAAGAGAUCCUGCAGAGGCAGAAGAACGCAUCCGCGCUGCUAGAGAGAACAUAAGGGAUUUGGAGAGGAGGCUGCAAGCACUGCGGGAGGAGCAACAAGCACUCAUUGUGCGGGCUGUCACCCUCGGUGACCGGGAAGACUAGAAGAAAUUUUAAAAAGUAGUUACUUUAUCUUCUUUCUAAUUGUUAAGGCCUAUCCUUUGACUUAUUUCUGUUUCGAAAAUAAUUUAUGUAGUUAGCAUAGUAAAGGCAUAUGUGGUUGUUUAUGUAAUGUAGUGCUUUAUGUAGUAGUAAUGAAUAAAUCUUUUGGAUA
RNAcentral lists this long non-coding RNA (2172 nucleotides) under Panax ginseng (ginseng). RNAcentral describes it as "long non-coding RNA (PGIN_LNC001279)". The record is from RNAcentral. Lineage: Eukaryota; Viridiplantae; Streptophyta; Magnoliopsida; Apiales; Araliaceae.